This is a small nuclear RNA of Ochotona princeps (American pika), 107 nucleotides long. NCBI's taxonomy places the organism in Eukaryota, Metazoa, Chordata, Mammalia, Lagomorpha, Ochotonidae. The record is from Ensembl.
UUGCUCACUACAGUGGCACAUAUACUAAAAUUGGAACCACUGGAAGAAGAUAAGCCUAGCCCGUGUGCAAAGAUGACAAGCAAAUUCUUGAAGUGUUCCACAUUUAC